AACUCAGGGCCUUGCACUUGGGAGGCAGGCAGCAGCACCACUGAGCUAAUUCCCCAGCCCCAAGGUCUUUGAGUUUCUUAAUCAGGCUUUGAAUGUAAUCAGAAGUGACUCCCCCCACCAUGACACUGGAGAGAAGAUUUGUAAAAGAGGGAGAAAAUAAGACCAAGAGGAAGGAAGGCACCUUCCUGUCACUACUGAUAUCUAAUGUCUCCCCCAGGCCUCUUGCUCCCAUGGCUAUCAUAAAGAAGCAGAUGGUGAAAACAAGGCUGGGCUCCACCCUGAAAAGGAAAGAAACCCAAUCACUGAGAAGGGUGGUGAACUGGGAGAAGGCUCUGUGAUGAGGCUGGAAGGGCGCGCUAGGCCCACAUCUCGUCCCUUCUGGGCCAUUGUCUCUCUUGGCUCCUUUCACUCUCCUGGUCCCUAUUGAAGGAUCGUGGGAAACUAAUAAAGAAUGGUAAUUAUUGGGCGGAACUGCUGGUGUUUAUUGUCCAUGUUUGAGAAAGUCAAAUCACGAGUUUAAAGCUGUAAAGUGUUAGUGUGUACAUUGACAGCGUGGUACUGUUUCCAGUGAGAAGCAGAAACAGAAACAACUGCCUUAAGUAACAAAGGAGGUUUAAAUUUAAUGUGGAGGAAAAUUCUUAAUUAAAUGUUAUGUGACCUGGGCAAUUUCUGGCUACUCCACCCUGGAAAGUUCACCUAGGCAGCAGUGUUCUCAGGAUUGGUUGUUAUGAGGGUUUCUAAAGUAUGAUCCAUGCGAGAGAGAGGUGCAGAUUGUCUAAAGAACCUCUUCAACUAUUUUAAAGACUGGGAUUCCUUGUUUGAUUUUCUUUUUAGAAGUUUUGUGAAAUAGGAUUAUAGAGUUUGAAAGCCAUUGGAUCUGUUAUCUUUUAUUCGAGCUGUAAGUCAGUGAUCUCAACAAUGUAAUAAUAUCACUUUAUGUUUAUCCACCUCAGAUCUCUCUUCUGUGCUCCAAAAUUGUUUCCUGAACAGUGUACACCCUUACUUCUUAGACACCCUUACUUCUCAUCCCACAGGUGCCGCAAGCUGUGUAGUUUAGAAUGGUUUUGCCUUUCUAAAAUUCACCUCACUUUUCUCCUGCAAGCUGCUUCUUCCCAGGCUGAGGAAAUGUCAACACCACGGAUCCAUCAGCCCCAUCAGAAACUGAGGAGUCAUUGUCAGUCCUUUCCUUUACCUCCCUGCUCACCGGCCAUCCGUCCUGCAGAUUCCACCUCCUCAGAACCACUUGGUCACUGACGUCCCCUCCACUGCUGUUUGAUCACACUUAGAUCCGUGACCCAGUCACUGCACCUGCCUGUGAGAUCUCUCAGCUUCGCCUUGCCUGCUUCCAGUCUCUGCCAUUCUGCCGCCCAAGUAAGUUUCUAAAUAUGGAUGUGAACUCAGCACUCCCUGUUCACUUGCUUUCCUCCUUUCCCACACCCAUCAAGAGUCCAGUCCCCACUGGAGAGUGUGUGGUGCUUCCUGAUCUUGUCCACUCCCUCCCUCACUUCCUUCAGUUCUUGAACCCAGCUCUGUAAACUCUGACCACUUUUUCAAAUAGGCCAAGCCCUUUUGUUGCCUUGGUUGUUUUGAUCUCUUGGCCAAGAAUGUUCCUCUUUCCAUUGCUCGCUCUCCAUGAUUCAGCUCAGUUAUUCUUCUAGGAAGACUUCCCUCAUCCUCUAUCCCCAGCCUGAGGCAGGUGCUCAUGCUGGGAUCUGGAUUACACAGUUACACUCAGCUGUUUACACAGUGCUUUGAUAUACAUAAAGAAUCCCAAAAGCCCAGGUUGGGGAGAUUUGUAUCAACUUUAUAGAUGAGCCUUAAGGGAUUGACAUCCCAGGUGAGGUAGCUGCUGAGUGACAGAUCUGAGUGACAGAUGAUAACCUGUUCCUUGGCAUCUAACCGAGUACUCUGAAGCAGAUUUCUCAGCCAAAAGUUGCCAAGCCAGGAGAAAACAGAAUGAUAUAUUCAGAGUGCUGAAAGAAAAAAACACAUGAGCUAAGAAUACUACAGCAGCAAAGAUAACCUUAAGAAAUAAAGAAGAAAUAACAUUUCUCACAUAAGCAAAAACUGAGGGAAUUCAACAGCACCAGACCAGCCCUAUAUUAAAGGAAUCCUACAUGUAGAAGCAAAGGGACCAUAACUACCCUCGUGAAAACUCAUGAAAAUAUACGUCUCACUGGUAGCUACACAAAUGAGAGAGAGUAAAGAAUCUAACCUUUUUACUACAGAGAACCACCAAACGACAAAGAUUAACAAUAAAAGAAAGAAAGAAAGGAUAAACAAUCAGUAUGCAAUGAAUAUAAUGGCAGGAAUAUAUUAUUCCUGAUCAGUAAUUAUCUUGAAUCUAAAUGGGUUUAAAUUCCAUGAACUAAAAGACAGACUGGAUGAGUGUAUUUAAAAUAACAAGACCCAACUAUCUGUUGUCCACAAGGAACUGACUUCAGCAGUAGAGACACACAGAAUGAAAGCAAAGGGGUGGAAAAGGAUAUUCCACACAAAUGGAAUUCAAACGUAAAUAGCUGUGCAAAAACAAAACAAAAAAACCAACAAACAAAAACAAAAAAUGG
Long non-coding RNA from Fukomys damarensis (Damara mole-rat), 2567 nucleotides. RefSeq lists it as uncharacterized. The transcript has 3 exons. NCBI's taxonomy places the organism in Eukaryota, Metazoa, Chordata, Mammalia, Rodentia, Bathyergidae. The record is from RefSeq and is a predicted model, not a curated record.